RNA transcript from Aethalodelphis obliquidens (Pacific white-sided dolphin), 4326 nucleotides. It is a transcript of the gene named armadillo like helical domain containing 1, with no coding region annotated. NCBI's taxonomy places the organism in Eukaryota, Metazoa, Chordata, Mammalia, Artiodactyla, Delphinidae. The transcript is spliced from 5 exons. The record is from RefSeq and is a predicted model, not a curated record.
GGCUCUGUGUCCUGGGCUUUUGCAUGGACCCCGAGGAAAACAGUGGAUGAAAUAUAAUGGUUGGGACCCCUAACCACAACUGCCGAAGAAAGGCUAGCUGUGGGAAGCCCGACCCCAAACAAAAGAAUCAGGAGGGCCUUCAGCUACCAGGAGAGAAGUGAAGUUAUUCACCUGGCUGUUAAGGCUGACAGGACAUUGUAGCUGGCUCCAUCCCUGAGGCUACGUGGACGCCCUUCCUGGGAGCACAUACCCGGUGUCCUCCGGGGAGCAGUGGAGCCAACUUGAGGACUCACUGAUCAUGACUUCUAUCAAGGAGCAGGCAGCAAUUAGCCGGCUCUUGAGUUUUUUACAGGAUUGGGACAAUGCUGGCAAAGUCGCAAGGAGUCACAUCCUCAACAAUUUCAUUGAAACCAACCAAGGCAAGACUGCCCCUGAGCUGGAACAGGAGUUUUCCCAGGGAGCCAGCUUGUUCCUGGUCCGCUUGACCACCUGGCUUAGACUCACCUACAUGACUGGCUCACGUUUAGAUAAGCUGCUCAGGUCCAUUGGCAUCUUCUUAUCAGCUGUAAGCAGGUGAGUUCUGUUCUAGCGAAAUUCUGGGGUCUCAGUUGCCUACCUGACUCAUGGUAUCCUUGACAUUCACACCACAUGGGACCUUAGCUUCUAGUUAUCAGUGGGUACCUAAGCCCUCAGGUUGGACCCAGAGGUGGUGGCAGCUGUGGUCCUGGUCUAGUUGCUCCUCCAUCCCAUGUUCUCCAUUGAUACUUUGCUAGUCAGCACCCUCUUGGUUGUGAAUUACAGAAAACCGACUCAUACUGGACCAGGAAAAAGUAGAAAUUAUUAGACUACUUAACUGAAAUGUCCAGAGAGUGGAAAUCCAUAUUUCAGGCCUGACUAUAUCCAGGGGCUCAAAAAAUGUCAUCAGUACUUGUUCUCUCCCACUUUUUCUCCAUUUCUCAGUGCUUGGUCUCUCCCGCUUUUCCACCAUUUCUCAGUAUUUGGUCUGUCCCGCUUUUCUCCAUUUCUCAGUAUUUGGUCUGUCCCGCUUUUUCUCCAUUUCUCAGCUCUGUUUUCCUCUACUUUCAUAGGCCUCCAUGUGUUGUAGUCCUCAGUACUCCAGACAUGCACCCUUCUAGCUCAGUCACACCAAAAAGAGAACAUGUAUUUCCCAAGCGUUCCCAAGAAAGUCCCAGGUUUUGAGCCUCAUUGGACCAACUUAGGUCACAUGCCUGGCCCCAAACCAAUUACUGCAGCCAGAAGGAUGACACACCUUCACCUGCUUACCCUCCCAAAACCACAUGGCUCGUGAGUGGUGGAAGGGUGAUCUCCCAUGGGACAGUUGAGGUGCCCUUCAAGAAGAAGAGACACAGAUGCUGGAAAUCCAAGCACAGGAAAUGGCCAUUGUAUUUAACUUCCGCAUUUCCUUCUGGAAGGAAGCAUUUCCAAACUAUUGUGUCACUUUACCCACAAACAUUUCCUGGGUAGGAGUAUAUGAAGAAAGGUCCUUGAGAUCCCUUAGAAAGGUUAGUGUCAAGGAACUUGACAAUGUCUUAUUUCUACUUUUCUAUCCCUCUGGACAGUAAUCGAUAUCUCAUAGAAUUUCUUGAGGUUGGUGGGGCCCUAACACUCUUGGAAAUACUUGCACUGAAGGAGAUCGAGGAGGAGGACAAGAAGGAAUCCAUCAAGCUACUUCAGGUUAUCUCAAACUCUGGCAGAAAGUACAAGGAGCUCAUCUGUGAAAGCUAUGUCGAUCAUCGGGACAACACACCCCAGCAUUGUGGACUGCGUGCUGAAGGUGCUGCGCACUGUGCACCCGGAAGUCCAGUAUGAAGGUAGGGGAGGCGGCCGGGUCUGCUCCAGACGGCACAAGGUGGCCAUGAGAACUAGGCAGCUUUGCUCUGAGACGUUUUCUCCCGUUCACAAAGAGCCUUAGUGAGUGAGUGUCCUAGGCAGCCUCGGCAGACGGAAGGUGCUGGCUCUGUGCUGAUGGGCAAGUUAUUCAGAAAACGACAGUCACAUUCUGGGCCUGGAAUCAGCCACAUGCUCUAGCAGUUGUCAGAAUGUGCCUGGGUGCAGAGCUGGCUCUCGUUCCCAGACUUAUGUGGCAUUUCCCCUCCAAACAGAAAUCACCCUGAGGACUGUUCUUCUAAGAAACCAGAUUGGGUAAUGAUAGUAUUAAUACGUUUUCAUUUAUUGAGUAUGCCUAUGUGCCAGCCACUUGCCAUGCAUUGCUCCAUUUAAUUCUCAAAAUAACCACAAGAGUACAGAUUCUGGUACAUAUUAGGUAUUCAGAUGUUCAAAUGAAUGAAUGGUGGGGGUUGGCAUUUUUAUGUUUUUCAAGCUACAGCCCUGAAGCACGGAGAGAUUAAGUAUGCUUCCCAAAGUUACACAGCUGACCGGACUCAAACCAGAUCUGUCUGACUCCAAAGCGUGUGCUUUUAACAUGCAGCACAUGGCAGGUGUUUCCAGGAUGUUAUUUCCUUCCCUGCUCUUCCGAUGGUUCAGAGAAGGGAGAUUCUGUUUUCAACAGGAGAGAUCAAGGAAGGGUUCUCUGGGAAGGUGGUAUUCGAGCUGAGCCUUGAAAAAUGGGAAGGUAGAAAGCAGAGAAGGGCAUUCUGGAAAGGGGAAUGGUGUAAAGGAAGGCCCAGACACAGGGAAGUACAAGAUGUGUCUGGGGAGUGGCAUGGAGAUCAUUUGGUGGAGGUUUGGUAGCGGUCUCGGUCUAGGAAGACCUAGGAGGGUAGGCCAGGACCAGAUCAUAGAGCACCUUGAACAUCAGAUGGAAUAGCAGGCCAGAGCCACAGGGAGACUUUAGACUGGAGUUGUUCAGACAACAAAAUGGAAUGUGCUGAUCUAGCAGGAUAGAGAGGCCCCAGGAAGAGAGAGAAGGGACAGGACUGGGGAGGGCCUGGGUGUGGAGAGUGAGAUGGCACAUGAAGGGGGAAUGGGCCCAGCCGAGGAGGCGAGGGCAGGGAGACCCAUAAGGCAGGAAGGGUCUGGGUGGCACUACAUAUCAGGAUUUCUGUGCAGGAUGACCGGCUGAGCCCCAGGUCCAGGAAGCCUAGGAGGGUCAGAGGGAGGAGGCCGGUACCAGGGUUAAGGUAUACAAGUGAGACCCUGGGGAUCAGCAAAGGCCUGGCGCUCACUCCCAGCCUAGAUUGUUUUUUGGAGGCAGCGUUGAGAUUGAAUGCCCACCUUAUCUUUCCUUCAGCAGCACUGUCAACUUUGUAUUUGUUUGACCCCUGCGGGGGUACAUGGACUCCUGUGUUGGGAAGUAAUGCUAUGUUGGAAUCGGUUACCAGCUGGAGCAGAGCCUCCUAGCUGGGGAGGAGUUGCCAGGUGGAGUGGUAGAGGCAUCUAAGUCAAGGUCAGGCCCAGCAGCAGAGAGGUGUUGCUGGCAUUGGAGCAAGGGGGUGAGCUGGCGGUGGAAUCAUGUCAGGAGGCUUAAUCAAACAGCCCCGAGGAGACUAGAUUGAGUGGCGCUGUGACCUCCCUCCCCUCACCCAACUUCCACGUGGCAAAGUGACCAUUCCGCCACUUCCCACCUUAAGCAUUUCUUCUCUGAGGGCUUCCCUGACCUGCCGUCACCCCUGCCCAAAUGUCAGCCUCCUUCCUUUUUACCAUCUUGCUCCCUCCUCCCCGCCAGCACCUGCCUCCAUUGAAGCAGUUAUCUCCAGAAUGGUAACUUCCCUUUACAUAGACUGUGCACAGUUUCCGUGCAGCUCUCAUAGUUUUUGUCCUUAUACCCCCAGCACAGUCCCCAGCGUAUGUUAGGUCCUUGGUAGGUGUUCGUUGAGUGCGUGAGGGAGGGAGGGAGUCCUGCACAUGCACACUGUAUUAGUGACUACCUGCCUAAAUGCCUUCCCCUCUGAGCAGCUUCAGGGCAGGGACAGGGUCUGAUUCAUUUCUUUUUCCAGCUCAGGGCCUGGCAUAUAAAGUGUGGUGUGCAGUAGAAUUUUGUUGAAUGAAUUUAUGCAAAACUGGCUUUGCUUCAGUUUCGCUGAUGAAGUCCUCCAGAGUUGAACUGGCCCAGCUUCUUCCCAUAUCAGGCCCAAUCUAGAGUCCUGCUGCGUUUAUUACGUAACAGCUGACUCUGGCAGAGACAGCAGGAGCAUGAAUUGUCACUGCCUUUUUGGUUUGAUGUCUACUGGUGUGAAACUGUGCACCUCAAAAUAAUUUCGGAUAAGCCAGACUCGUAACAGGAGUACAAGAAAUGUCUAUUGAAUGAAAGAAUUAUUCUUUUUUACCGGGCACUUCAAAAUAGUCUUCGUGGGCUUCCCUGGUGGCGCAGUGGUUGAGAGUCCGCCUGCCGAUGCAGGAGACACG